RNAcentral lists this small RNA (136 nucleotides) under Klebsiella pneumoniae. RNAcentral's name for it is "RtT sRNA". It matches the Rfam family "RtT RNA". Rfam says of the family: This family represents a bacterial cis-regulatory element known as RtT RNA. The exact function of RtT is unknown although it is thought that it may be involved in changing the cellular response in relation to amino acid starvation. The record is from RNAcentral. RNAcentral also lists the same sequence under 1 other name. Lineage: Bacteria; Pseudomonadati; Pseudomonadota; Gammaproteobacteria; Enterobacterales; Enterobacteriaceae.
CGCCUUUUUGCUAUGCGCGGAACUCAACGAUUCGAACCUGCAGCAGGUUCGGGUCGAACGCAGUGAGACAACGGAGCCGCUUGCGGCGACGACCCGAAGGGCGAGGUGAAGCCGAGUCAUCCUGCACGACCCACCA